Non-coding RNA from Callithrix jacchus (white-tufted-ear marmoset), 9900 nucleotides. The record is from RefSeq and is a predicted model, not a curated record. NCBI's taxonomy places the organism in Eukaryota, Metazoa, Chordata, Mammalia, Primates, Cebidae.
CCAAGUGAUCCAACGUCCAUGUUAUUGCUCAACAGCAGCCCGCGGCAUACAGUGGCGGGAAAUGGGCUGGCAGUUCAGCCAAAGGGCUGCUGUCUUUGAUGAUGCAACAAUUGCCUUAUCUGUAACAUGGCAAUCACAGUUCAGAAGGGGAGCUCUUCCACCCUCAGCAACCUCUGUGGCUCAAGCCAAAAACCCGGCAGCUGCCCCCAACUCCUUCCCUCCCAGUCCUGCCCCCAGCAGGAGUCCUGUGGAUCACUGGCCACGUCUGCCCUCUCUCUACUGGCCCAGCCUGGGCUCAGUCAGUCCUCAUCAUCAAUGCCCAGCUCUCUUGAGGAGGGCAUUUGCCUUCAUUGCCAGGGACAGGAUGCCGGCUAGUUGGGGGGAGCAGAGAUCGUUAAUGUGGUAGCAGCAAAGCAUCUGUACAUCCAGACUUGGGAGAAGGAGGUCCAGGCAGAAGGCCAGGGAGAAGGAGCUCAGCUCCAUGCAGGCACAACUGCCUUGAGUUGCAAUUACUCAAAGUGCUAUGAAACCCACCUUUGUUAAGAGGAUGGAGAAAGAGUAACCAGAGGAAAGAAACCUCUGGGAAAAUAAAGACACAAACAUCAAAAGAGAAACUCAUUUCUAGAUAAAGGGAGUGGCCUGUACUCACAGAUGGAGAAAGAGAGAGUCAGUAGAAUAAAGAAGAGCCAAGCAGCUGAUCUCAGAGAGGAGGAAGGAAGAUGGGUGGGCAUGGCCAGAGGGCACACGUCUGGGUCUGCUGAGAGCAUCCCAACAGCUGUGCCCUCCUGAGCCAGGGAGGAGCAAACUAACAAGUGAACACAGCCCCUGCCCUCAGGGGGCUCACUGUCUGGAAGGACAGGCACAUCCUCCACAGAUUAUGCAGUCAGACCAUGAUAAAUCAUAAGAUAAAGCUCUUAACAAGCUGCCAGCAGAACAGCAAUCACGGCAAAUGGAUACUGUCGAGAGCAAUGAGAAAGCAUUUACACCGGGCUUUAAAAGUGAAAUGUGCUAUGGGAAAGAGGAAAAAUGGCAAGGACUUUGCAGAUAAAGACGCUUGCUGGAACUAAGCAGUCCGCUUAGACCUGCUCCUAGCAUAUAUCGUGUCAGUGAACCUCACAACCACUCAAUGUUAUUCUAGCUCCACUUUGAAAGUGUGAAGAUCUCAGAGGAGACGUGCCCAGAAGCUCAGCCAGAAAGUGUCAUUGCAGGCAGCAAAAAAGGGUGUGAGAAGGACAUGAGGAGCAGAAAGCACGUAGUGUUAGGACAGAGUGCUACAGGCCCUCCUCUUCCUCCUCCUCCUCUUCCUCCUCCUCCUCUUCCUCCUCCUCCUCUUUCUCCUCCUCCUCUGCUCAGACCCUGACACUCAGCAGUGCUGCCCACCAGGGAGAGUCCAGGCCCAGACCCUGUUCCCUCCCACUAAUGCCCAGCAUCCCUCUAGAGCUGGGGCCUGGGACAAGACCCUCUGCCCAGCAUGUGCUGCAUCCUCCCUGGGAGCCCAGAUCCCUGAGUCAACUCUGGACCUGCUCAGGGAGAUGUGAGGCCAUUUGAGGCAUGGGGUUGGGGUGUGAACAGAGGGGGAGCUCUGGAGUUAGGCAGGCCUGGGUUUGAAGUCUGCCUCAAGUCCUUCCCAGGGCGUGACCUCCAGCUAAAUGGUAAAUUCUUCUGGUCUUGGUUUUUUCAUCCAUGUGAUGAGAAUAACAAUAAGACCAAUGUCUCGGGACCAAUGAGGAUUUACAAUGUAAAAACUAGAUGUAGACAUCUCACACAGUCACCUGGGCCUUUCAGCAAGGGGCUUGUUGAAUCUUAAUUAUCUGUGAUAUUGUUGGGAAGAGGGGUCUCCCCAGGGCCCUCCUUGCUGCCCUGAGCUGGCCAUGCCAAUCUUCUGAGGGAUGUCCAACUCUGGCCCUUCUCCUUCUUCCCUGCAGCCAUUAGGGGCUGAACCGUGGUGGUCAGCCCUCCUGGGUUUCCCACCUAGUGAGUCUGCUGGCUCCUGCCCAUCUCAGUUGAGCAGCUACAGAUCAGUCAACAGGAGCCCCACCACGGACCACCUGUGAUCACUCCCUGCCACCAUUGCCUCCUACCCACUGAGACAGAAAUCCUCUCUCUGGAGCUGAAAGCCACACACCAUCUCCACACGGGGCUCUUCACAUACCCCUCUCCCCAGCAAAGACCUCGGCUCUCACCUGCCAGCCUCCAUGCCAGUGCUCAUUGCAUUUGUCUGUGCCUGGGCUGUCAGCCACUGUGAACUUGACUUGCCCUUCAAGGACCUAAGCAAAUCCCACACCCUGCACGAGACCUUCCCAGGAGUCACCCACUCCCCUCACAUCCCUGAUGCUCAACUCCCUCUCACUCUACUACCCUCGCUUCGCUGUGCUUCACUGAUAAUUGCCUAUCUGGCUGAGCACCCAGCUGUGGGGCCCGGUGGAGGCUCCACUUGCCAAGAGAUUAGCCUUGGGGAAGAGCUGUGUCUGUCCUGAGGAAGGGGUGCCUUUGACUAACAUGCGCAAAGGUUCUGUGUGGCACCUGCCCUAGGACAGGAAGUGCUGGAUUCAAGGUGGAUCAGGACACACAUGGGACUCGGCUGCCCUUGUGAAGACAGCACCCUUGCCAAUGGAUCUUCAAUUCCGCAGAGACGGGGACCGUGUCUUCUAUUUCAUCCAUUCAGCGAGUAUUGAUUGACCACCUGCCAUGGGUUGUACCAGCAAUGAAUGAGAGUUCCUGUCGCUCCACAUCCUCUCCAGCAUUUGGAAUCGUCAAUGUUUUGGAUUUUGGCCAUUCUAAGAGACUGGAGUAUAAUGGCGUGAUCUCGGCUCACUGCAACCUCAGCCUCCCAGAUUCAAGCGAUUUUCCUGCCUCAGCCUCCCAAGUAGCUAGGAUUAUAGGAACCCUGUUGGCCACGCCCACACAGGCUUUCUGUCAUCUUCAAGGUCGUCUCCAGGAUCUGGGACCAAAUGCUUGAAGAGUAAUAUAGAAAUACGUCCUGAGAACAAGCAGUACGAUACCAAAUAAGACAGCCUAAUCCAGUCGUUGUGUAAGAGGCAUUUCUUUAAAGGAAGUAAAUCUGUCUACAGAAUGCAAUUCUGUCCACCCCUCUCCACCUCCACCACCCUCAUUCAUGAUAACCUGUUAACAUUGUUAUGCAGAGAAACUCAGCUCUUUGGAAAUCCAUUGCCUUUGCUUUGCUUAGUCAGAAGGGUCAUUGCCCAAGAGUGAAUCCAAGAACCCACCUUCAGCAAAAAAGGAAAUCACUGGAACCUUUGAAAUCAUGGCUCGGUUUCAGCUUCAACCCUCCUCAUUAGGACUAUAUAAACCCCAGGACAAUGUUUUCUUUUGAGGACCAAGUUCAGAAUGCCUUGACUUUUUAUUCUUUCAACAGCCUCUGCAAGGUGAUUUCCAAAGCAGGUAGUUUAAGAGCAACAGUAGCUAACAUCACACCAAGCACACUUCACACAUUCUAUCUUGUUUUCCAGCAAGGAGAAUAAAACUCAGAGAGGUUGAGUGGUUUUCGUAACGUUCUAUAGCUAAUAACUGAGAGAACCAGUAUUUGAACCCAGUCAGUCUGGUUCUGGUUCCAGCCCUCUUAACUGCUUUUCAGGUGGGAAAUGAGAGUCCAGUCUGGGAAUGGGAAGAAUUGCAGACCCAUCUCCCCUCUACAGCAGACUGUGGGUACUGUGGCAUUCUCUUGGUGUGGAUUGAGAUCAGUAUCCUUCCAUGGCGUAUAUAGCCAAUAUUCAGUAUUUAGAUGCCAGAGACACUGAAACCUAAUCAGCCUGAACCUGCAAAAUCCUUCCCCUGCCUCCACACUAAUCUGGAGGAGAAUGUAGGUCGGUGACGCAGACUCCUCCACUUCCCCACAGUCAAGGAGAGCCAGGGCCAGAGUGUGGCCCCUUUGGGAUUCCCUUCCUUGCUUUUUUUUUCUUUUCUAUUUAUUUUCUUCUUCUUCUCUUCUUCUUCUUCUUCUUCUUCUUCUUCUUCUUCUUCUUCUUCUUCUUCUUCUUGUUCUUGUUCUUCUUCUUCUUCUUCUUCUUCUUUCUUCUCCUUCUCCUUCUUUUCUUCUUCUUCUUUUUGUGAGACAAGGUCUGUCUGUCACCCAGGCUGGAGUGCAAUGGCAUGAUCACAGCUCACUGCAGCCUUAACCUCCUGAGCUCAGGUUAUCCUCCCACUUAAGCCUCCCAAGUAGCUGGGACUACAGGUGUAUGCCACCACACCUGGCUAAUUUUUUAAUUUUUUGCAGAGAUGGGGUUUUGCCACAUUGCUCAGGCUGGUCUCAAACUCCUGAGCUCAAGUGAUCCUCCUGCCUCCAUCUCCCAAAGUGCUGGGAUUAUAGGCUGGUUCUCUUCUUGACAUUAUAAUUUCUGUUGGUCCCAGCUCACCUCCCCAGGCUGAUAUCUGCUACAGAUGCUCACUCAACUCAGUGGGCCCUGACAUCACUGCAGGCUUUUUCCUGGGGUUCCAUAUCAAUAAAGUAUUUGAUUGGAGGCUACAGGACUAAGUAGAGAGAAGGGAUUGGUCAGAGGGAAGAGAAGGAACUGUAUUCCAAACUAGUGGAGGUUGCUAGCUUAACUCAGUUCUCUCUAUUUUUCUUUCUCAUUAGAGUCACUUCCUGUAUGCAUAGGGCUCCCCCAGGGUUGUCUUUCCCCCUUAGUUUGCAGAUCAUCCUGGCUAUUUAUGUUGGAUGCAGAGGUGGAGUUUGAUAACUCUUUGUGGUGUCUCCUAAUCCAGGAUCAUAAGUCCUGUGUUUAGCAGACAUUCCUUUGCAUCCGUGGUAUUUGGUUGAGUACGUGUAUAGGCCCCUUUAUUUAAAUUAUUUUACCCAAGAGGUGGUUUUAAAUGAAUUCAGGUUUUGGAUGAAUUCUUAGAGCAUCAAAUAUCAUUGCAAAUGUGAUUACUAAACCAUUGUUGAUAAUGUUUUUGAGGUCAUAGAGAACUAGAGACGGGACACAAAACAGAAGAUUGACAAAUGUUGAAUGUUUUUCACAAAGGUGAGAUGGAUGGCAUGUGAAAAUUGCAAACUGAUGAGUGUGACAUCUCUUACCAAUAAGAUACAAGAAUGGACUGACUACUAAGUAGACAGUUUCUGCACACUACAUGGUUUCUUAAGGAAUAGCUCAUGCCAAAUGACCUAGUCUGUUUCUACGUGCUUAUUAGAGUCAAGGAUCAGGAAGUACUAUGGGCGUGGCUCCUCCUGAAUACAGUGAGACAUUUGAAGAAGUUUCUUUUGAAAUCUUAGUAGAUAAGAUGGAAAAAUGUGAGUUGGCUACGGUUAAUUAGGUGGAUUUGUAACUGGCUGAACAACUAUACCUAAAGGACAUUGACAAAAUAUUUUUUAAUCAACAACUCACAGAAAUAUUUAUGACAUGCAUAUCAUCAUUUGCAAAUGAUGCCAAAUUGCAAGGGAUAGCUAAUAAUUUGAAUGACCGACAAAGUUAGGAUUCUAAAGUAUUUUGCUAGACUGGAACUUGGAUUAAAGCUGAAAACAACAAAGUGAAUGGAGAUAGUGUGGAGUUUUUCCUUCAGGUGUAAAAAAAGAAAUUGUAUAAGCACAGGAAGAAUAGACGUGAGUUAGCAGUAAUCCCUUGCAUUAGUUGGGGAUACCUUUGGCUGCAAGUAACAAAAAUAUCUGAUUCGGGAUGGAUAAGGCAAUUUAUCAUCUCCUGUAACAAAGAGACAGGAAAAGGAACUGUGGGUGUGAAAGCUUUACUUCUCUGAGAUACUCCAAGCUAGCAGUUGUCAACCAGAGCAGUUUUACCCCCAGGGGACAUUUGACUAUACCUAGAGACAUUUUUGGUUGUCACAACUGGUAAGGUGGGAGUAUGCUACUGGCAUUUAGUGGAUCGAGGAGAUGCCAUGGAUGCUGCUAAACAUCCCACAAUGUGCAGGAUAACUCCCACAACAAAGAAAUACCUGGCCCAAAAUGUCAGUAGUUUAAGACUGAGAAGCACUAAUUUACAGUAAUCCAGAUCUACUGCCUGGAGGCUUCCCUGAAGUCACAUGGGGGAAGGGUGGAUAGCUGAGCAAAAUUGGGAAUUGUUAGGAAGGAAGAAAGGAGGGAUGGACAUUGGAGGAUCCAUAAAGAUACUACAUUCAUGUUAAAAAUAUUUUUUAAAGUCUACCAUAAAGAUACUACAUUCAUAUUAAAAAUAUUUUUUUAUCGAUUAUGAGCCAAGGUCACUGCCAGCCCAGAGAAGAUCUUUGUAUGAUUUAGAAAAGACACCCACCUUCCUCAGCAACUUUACUGCCAUCUACUGGAAAAUUACUGAAGGAAAUACAUAAAUCUACAAUAGAUUGUAAAUAGAGCCCCCUAGAGUUGUGCCACACAUAACCUCACAAUAAUUUAAAGCAUCCCUUCUGUGAGUCUAACAUGAUCCAGCUAUAUAAAAUGGCUGUCAAAGAAGUAGUUUAGGACUUUACCAACAGGAACUAUAUGUCCCAAGUAAGGAAGGUCAAAAUCUCACCAUAUCCUCCAUUGGUCACACCACAGCUGGAAUUCUUGAUAAAUUCUUUGUUUCAUAGUUGAAGAAUUUUUUUUAAGUGACCAAAGAAAGUUGGACUGGAGGAAGAAGAGUCAAGGAGUCAUAAUAUAUGAGAAGCAUGUGUGGAGGAGGGAAGAAACUAGAGCCGGUGAAGAAACACUAAAAGUGAACUGGAGCAUUAUCUCCAAGUAUAUGAAGGGUCUUAAGGGGAAUAGAGACCAGACUAAAUCUGUGUUUCUCCAAAGGGCAAAACUGGGUCCAAUGUGUGAAAUCACAGACCCAUGAGAUAUGUCUGGAAGUGACAUUGGUGGUCAACUAAUCAAACCCGUUUUUCAAACAUCCCUCCUACAGUACUUCCACAGCAGCUACCCUGCCACCACACCUUCAGCAAAGCGGCAAUCCUGUGAUCUUUUGGUGAUGCUGGAGUGUUUCACACUGUGUAGAGAUUUGCUCUACACAAUAAAGGAAGUUUCACAACCAAGGUUUCCAUCCAAUGGCUUCAAGUAGAAGAUGGACCACCAUUGGUCAGCGAUCAGAUCCCUCGUCCAUCAAAUGAAAGAGUUAAACCUAGAAGAUCUCUAAGUUAUUUCCUGCUAUCCAAGUGGAUUAUAGUCUCUGGGCUACAAAAGUAAGAGUUUGAUGUUGCUGCCAAGCUUUUCUUCUCAUUUCCUCACCCUCCUUGUACACGUUUGCACGAUUUGGCACUUGAUUUUACCAUAAUUAAUUUAAUCAGCUCCCAACUAGCGAACCUUUAGUGUGUUUCCAAUUUUUCAUUAUUACAAACCAUACUGCAAUAAACAUUCUUAUAUAUUACUUUGGGGCACUUGUGUAAAUAUUUUUAUGGGUUAAGUUCCCAGGAAUGGAAUUGUUGAGUAAAAGGGAUAGACAUUUCAAACUUAAUCUCCCUUAAUGAUUUGCAUUAAUUUACUCACACCAGUACUGGACAAUUGCACUCAUUCAUUUAUGUCAAACCGAAAAAUUUGUAUUUAAAUUUUUACUUGUUUGAUUAUUAGUGAAGUUAAUAUUGUGAAUUAUUAGUUAGGCAUUGAUUUCUAUGAAUUGCUCCUCUUCAUAAUCUUUGUCCAUUUUUCUAUGAGUUAUCAGUAUUUUGUAAAAGUUCUUUAUAUGUUGUGGAUAUUAAUGACUCAUUCAGAUGUAUAUAUAUUCAAAUGUUAUUUCUAGUUUUGAAUAUGCCUUCUUAGAUCUAUUUAGAUCUUUCACUUUAGAAAAGUUUUAAUAAAAUCUGACAAUGUUUUAUGUUACAAAUUUUAGGUUUUAAGUUAUGCUUGAAAAGCUAUUUCAAAUGGAAAGAUUAUGCAGAUAUUCUGUAAUACUUUAUGAUAUGAUGUUUUAUAUUUCUUAGUCUGAAUUUUUAAAUGCACUGUCAAUUUAUUAUGUACCUUAUUUUUUUAAAUGAAUAUCCAAAUAUUCUUACCAUAUUUAUUUUUUAAAAACCCUCUUUUAAGGCCGAGCGUGGUGGCUCAAGCCUGUAAUCCCAGCACUUUGGGAGGCCAAGGCGGGUGGAUCACGAGGUCAAGAGAUCGAGACCAUCGUGGUCAACAUGGUGAAACCCCGUCUCUACUAAAAAGAUACAAAAAAUUAGCUUGGCAUGGUGGCGCGUGCCUGUAAUCCCAGCUACUUGGGAGGCUGAGGCAGGAGAAUUGCCUGAACCCAGGAGGCGGAGGUUGCAGUGAGCCGAGAUCGCGCCAUUGCACUCCAGUCUGGGUAGCAAGAGUGAAACUCCGUCUCAAAAAAAAAAAAAAAAAACCCUCUUUUAUUAUAAUUGCCACUUAUUUACAUAUUUACUUCCCAUUUGUUAUGUGUAUCUAUUCUUACACUUUCAAUUCUCUUCCAUUCAGCAACUUUUCUUUUUUUGUACCUCUAUCAUACAAUUUUCAAUACUGUGGUUUUAUGGUGCUUUUUGAGUGCUCAUAGAAUAAUUUCCCUCUUAAUUUUCUUCUUUUACAAAAAAUAGAAUUGAUUUUUUCUUGGAAUUUAAUUAAAUUAAUGGAGCAAUUUGGGAAUAAGUAAUAUUUUUAUACAAUUAAAUCUACCAAUCCAAGAACUGGUGUCUGUUCUUACUAACUCAAAUAUUCUAUAUCUUUGAAGAAAAUUGUUUAAUUUUUAUAUAUGUCUUAUACAUUUCUAAAAUAUAUUACUAGUUAUUUUGUAGUUAAGCAUGCUCUUUGAAGGAUUUUAUUAAAAUUUUAAUUUUCUAACAGGUUUUUGUUGGUAUGUAGGAAGUCUAUGGAUUUUUGGUUUUUUAAUAUAAAUUUAAUCUGGAUGCUUCGUAGAUCUCACUGUUUACAUACUUGACUGAUUCUCUUGGAUAUGUUGUUUAUUCAUGUUAUCCACAAUAAUGAUGAUUUUUCCUUUUUAAUUUACUUUAUGUAGUUCUUUACUUGACUUUUUCAUUGUUUUGGCUAGAACCUUCAGAACAAUGAUAAAUAAUAGCAGUGAUGGUGAGCAUCUUUGCCUUAUUCUUUAUUUUAGUGGUGUUUCUAGUGUUUCACCAUUAAGGAUGAAGUUCAAUGAUUUUAUAAUACUUGUGUCUAUUUAAUAAACUCUCUUUAUUCUCAUGAUUUACUGGAAGAUUUAUCAAGAACAGAAUUUGAAUUGUGCCAAAUAAGAUUUUGUCAAUCUGUUGAAAAGAUCACCAUUUUUUUUCUUUAACUAGUAAUACAAAUGUAUGGAUAUCUACUACUGAACCAGACUUGAGCUUCUAAAAUGCUUAGUCAUGAUUUUUUAUCUUUUAAUACAUCGUUUUACUGAAAUUUUCAAUAAUUUAUUUUAGAUUUUUACACUUCCAUAAAUUGUUGGCACCAUCUUUGUCAGAUUUUAGUAUCAAGGUUACAUUAGUCUUAUAAAAUUGCUCAGUAAGGGCUUCAUCUCUAAGUAUAGAUAACAAAUAUUUGCUCUAUGGAGAUGUGACAGAUCUCACUUAUAAAACCAUCUGCCCUGAGGUAUUCAGGGUGUUACGUAUUUUAUUAUCUUUGCCCUUUCUUCUGUGAUUAUUGUUCUUUCAGAUCAUCUGCCUUUUCUUCAGCCAUUUUUGCUACUUAUAUUAGUGGUCAUUUCGUCUAGAAUUUCAACUUCACUGAAAUAAGUAUGUGAUAUUAAUUUUUUUAAAAUUCCCUCUGCAUAAGUAGUUAUAUCUUGAUAAGGUUAGGCUGUGUUCCUACCCAAGUCUCAUCUUGAAUUGCAGCUCCCAUAAUUCCCAUAUGCUGUGGGAGGGACCUAGUGGGAGGUAAUUGAAUCAUGGGGGCAAUUUUCCCCUUAACUGUUCUCUUAGUGAAUAAGUCUCAUGAGAUCUGACAGUUUUAUAAAGGAUUUCCCCUUUCACUUGAUUCUCAUGCUCUCUUGCCUGCCUCUACGUAAAAUGUGUCUUUCACCUUCCACCAUGAUCCCAUGUGGAACUGUGACUUCA